GACAGAGGGUGCAAACGUUGUUCGGAAUUACUGGGCGUAAAGCGCGUGUAGGCGGCUUGGCAAGUCGGAUGUGAAAGCCCAGGGCUCAACCCUGGAAGUGCACUCGAAACUGCCGAACUUGAGUCCCGGAGAGGAAGGCGGAAUUCUCGGUGUAGAGGUGAAAUUCGUAGAUAUCGAGAGGAACACCUGUGGCGAAGGCGGCCUUCUGGACGGUGACUGACGCUGAGACGCGAAAGCGUGGGGAGCAAACAGG
This 253-nucleotide ribosomal RNA is filed under the name uncultured bacterium. Its description in RNAcentral is "partial 16S ribosomal RNA". It matches the Rfam family "Bacterial small subunit ribosomal RNA", at positions 524 to 776 of the family's 1533-position model. The record is from RNAcentral.